RNAcentral lists this unclassified non-coding RNA (211 nucleotides) under plant metagenome. RNAcentral describes it as "partial contains small subunit ribosomal RNA and internal transcribed spacer 1". The stretch from base 1 to 46 matches the Rfam family "Eukaryotic small subunit ribosomal RNA", at positions 1786 to 1831 of the family's 1831-position model. The record is from RNAcentral.
AAGUCGUAACAAGGUUUCCGUAGGUGAACCUGCGGAAGGAUCAUUAAUGAAGUCUGGUUUCAACCUCUCUCUUCUACACACUUGUGAACUUACACUGUUGCUUGGCAGGUCUCCAGAAGGGUGAAACCGGACGGUCAGGUCGAAGGCGCUGCCAAAGACAUUUAUCCACCCUUUUUAUUGUCUGAUUUUGUUUAAACAAAUUAUAAAAAAA